AACGAACGCUGGCGGCAUGCCUAACACAUGCAAGUCGAACGAGACCUUCGGGUCUAGUGGCGCACGGGUGCGUAACGCGUGGGAACCUGCCCUUAGGUUCGGAAUAACUCCCCGAAAGGGGUGCUAAUACCGGAUAAUGUCUUCGGACCAAAGAUUUAUCGCCUUUGGAUGGGCCCGCGUUGGAUUAGCUAGUUGGUAGGGUAAAAGCCUACCAAGGCGACGUUACAUAGCUGGUCUGAGAGGAUGAUCAGCCACACUGGGACUGAGACACGGCCCAGACUCCUACGGGAGGGAGCAGUGGGGAAUAUUGGACAAUGGGCGAUAGCCUGAUCCAGCAAGGCCGCGUGAGUGAUGAAGGCCUUAGGGUUGUACAGCUCUUUUACCCGGGAUGAUAAUGACAGUACCGGGAGAAUAAGCUCCGGCUAACUCCGUG
Molecule: ribosomal RNA, 433 nt
Filed under: uncultured bacterium
Lineage: Bacteria
Description: partial 16S ribosomal RNA
Rfam family: Bacterial small subunit ribosomal RNA
Source: RNAcentral